CCACCAUGCCCGGCCCUCCCUUUCUUUUGUGUCUUUGGAUUUGUCUUUGUGGAGAGGGUACCAGCCACCAUCCUGUGAGGAAGCCCAGAGCACAUGAAGAGACCACCUGCACAUGUUCAGAUCCACUGCCCCAGCUAAGAUCUCCGCUGACAGCCAGACCAAUCACCAAUCUUAGGAGCUGGCGAGCCUUCAGAUGGUCCAACCUUUGAGGCCCCCCAGAGGAGCCAGGUGGAGCAUAGAUGAGCCAUCCAUGUGGAUCCCUCCACCAAAUGGAAGAUUUAGGAGCAAAAUAAACAAUGUUGUCAUUGCUUUC
Molecule: long non-coding RNA, 313 nt
Filed under: Homo sapiens (human)
Lineage: Eukaryota; Metazoa; Chordata; Mammalia; Primates; Hominidae
Description: non-protein coding lnc-ZKSCAN1-1:5
Source: RNAcentral